AGCGAACGCUGGCGGCAGGCUUAACACAUGCAAGUCGAGCGGGCGUAGCAAUACGUCAGCGGCAGACGGGUGAGUAACGCGUGGGAACGUACCUUUUGGUUCGGAACAACACAGGGAAACUUGUGCUAAAUACCGGAUAAGCCCUUACGGGGAAAGAUUUAUCGCCGAAAGAUCGGCCCGCGUCUGAUUAGCUUGUUGGUGAGGUAACGGCUCACCAAGGCGACGAUCAGUAGCUGGUCUGAGAGGAUGAUCAGCCACAUUGGGACUGAGACACGGCCCAAACUCCUACGGGAGGCAGCAGUGGGGAAUAUUGGACAAUGGGGGAAACCCUGAUCCAGCCAUGCCGCGUGAGUGAUGAAGGCCCUAGGGUUGUAAAGCUCUUUUGUGCGGGAAGAUAAUGACGGUACCGCAAGAAUAAGCCCCGGCUAACUUCGUGCCAGCAGCCGCGGUAAU
RNAcentral lists this ribosomal RNA (453 nucleotides) under uncultured bacterium. RNAcentral's name for it is "bacterial SSU rRNA". It matches the Rfam family "Bacterial small subunit ribosomal RNA", at positions 29 to 524 of the family's 1533-position model. The record is from RNAcentral.